UGCAGGGUGGAGCAGUGGUAGCUCAUGAGUCUCAUAAGCUCAACUAUGUCGGUUCGAUUCCGGCCCCUGCAA
This 72-nucleotide transfer RNA is filed under the name Bdellovibrionales bacterium. RNAcentral's name for it is "tRNA-Met". It matches the Rfam family "tRNA". From Rfam's summary of the family: Transfer RNA (tRNA) molecules are approximately 80 nucleotides in length. Their secondary structure includes four short double-helical elements and three loops (D, anti-codon, and T loops). The record is from RNAcentral. Lineage: Bacteria; Pseudomonadati; Bdellovibrionota; Bdellovibrionia; Bdellovibrionales.